UACGUAGGGACCAAGCGUUGUCCGGAGUCAUUGGGCGUAAAGAGCGUGUAGGCGGCUUGUUAAGUCUUGCGUGAAAUCUCGGGGCUCAACCCCGAGCGGUCGUGAGAAACUGGCAGGCUAGAGUGCGGGAGAGGAGAGUGGAAUUCCUGGUGUAGCGGUGAAAUGCGCAGAUAUCAGGAGGAACACCGGUGGCGAAGGCGGGUCUCUGGGCAGUAACUGACGCUGAGGAGCGAAAGCGUGGGGAGCGAACAGG
This 253-nucleotide ribosomal RNA is filed under the name uncultured bacterium. RNAcentral's name for it is "partial 16S ribosomal RNA". It matches the Rfam family "Bacterial small subunit ribosomal RNA", at positions 524 to 776 of the family's 1533-position model. The record is from RNAcentral.